UUGAACGCUGGCGGCAUGCCUUACACAUGCAAGUCGAAGGCAGCACGGUGCUUGCACCUGGUGGCGAGUGGCGAACGGGUGAGUAAUAUAUCGGAACGUACCUUAUCGUGGGGGAUAACGCAGCGAAAGCUGCGCUAAUACCGCAUACGCCCUGAGGGGGAAAGCGGGGGACCGUAAGGCCUCGCGCGAUUAGAGCGGCCGAUAUCUGAUUAGCUUGUUGGUGGGGUAAAAAGCCCACCAAGGCGACGAUCAGUAGCUGGUCUGAGAGGACGAUCAGCCACACUGGGACUGAGACACGGCCCAGACUCCUACGGGAGGCAGCAGUGGGGAAUUUUGGACAAUGGGGGCAACCCUGAUCCAGCAAUGCCGCGUGAGUGAAGAAGGCCUUCGGGUUGUAAAGCUCUUUUGUCAGGGAAGAAACAGCAGCUCUAACACAGUCUGCGAAUGACGGUACCUGAAGAAUAAGCACCGGCUAACUACGUG
Molecule: ribosomal RNA, 483 nt
Filed under: uncultured bacterium
Lineage: Bacteria
Description: bacterial SSU rRNA
Rfam family: Bacterial small subunit ribosomal RNA
Source: RNAcentral